Molecule: ribosomal RNA, 465 nt
Filed under: uncultured bacterium
Lineage: Bacteria
Description: partial 16S ribosomal RNA
Rfam family: Bacterial small subunit ribosomal RNA
Source: RNAcentral
GACGAACGCUGGCGGCGUGCUUAACACAUGCAAGUCGAACGGAAAGGCCCUGCUUGCAGGGUACUCGAGUGGCGAACGGGUGAGUAACACGUGGGUGAUCUGCCCUGCACUUCGGGAUAUGCCUGGGAAACUGGGUCUAAUACCGGAUAGGAGCCAUCUUUAGUGUGAUGGUUGGAAAGUUUUUUCGGUGUAGGAUGAGCUCGCGGCCUAUCAGCUUGUUGGUGGGGUAAUGGCCUACCAAGGCGGCGACGGGUAGCCGGCCUGGGAGGGUGGACGGCCACAUUGGGACUGAGAUACGGCCCAAGCGCCUAAGGGAGGCAACAGGGGGGAAUAUUGCACAAUGGGCGCAAGCCUGGUGCAGCGACGCCGCGGGGGGGAUGACGGCCUUCGGGUUGUAAACUCCUUUCGCUAGGGACGAAGCUUUUUGUGACGGUACCUAGAUAAGAAGCACCGGCUAACUACGUG